Molecule: long non-coding RNA, 2090 nt
Organism: Bombus huntii
Lineage: Eukaryota; Metazoa; Arthropoda; Insecta; Hymenoptera; Apidae
Exons: 3
Source: RefSeq, a predicted model, not a curated record
GCGAGCACCGCGAUCGAAACUUUCCUCUUCGUCUUCGAUCGACUAUGUUACGAGUAAAGACACCAAAAUUUCCGGUGACGCUGUUGCAUGUUGUUUGCGAAGGAACGCGGUCUAAGACGGAGAUGGGGACGCGUGUACGUGCGUGAAAACGGGUUUCGAAUCAUUGAGAACGGCGGCCGGUCGACGGCCGACAAAAAGUUGGAGCUCACGCACGGCUGCUGUUCGCGUCGCUCGUGAUGAGAAGACAGCCGAUGGAAAUAAACGAGAAGAGGGCCGGCCCAAGGGGAACACGGAUAGGAUAAGGGGAAUAGAGAAGAUGGAAGGAGGAGAGAGAGAGAGAAAGCAGGAGAGCGACGAUCUUACGCGACCGCGUGAAAAAUUUUGUCCACGCGAGGCUCGCGACGUGCCGCGUGAGAACACCUAUUUUCUACGUGUAGUCGCUUCUCACGGUAACGCGAAUUUUUCGUACUUUGCUCCAAUCCGAAUAGCGUAUUUUUCUUCUAUAUUUCCAUCGAAUGUCUUUCCAACCACGCUGAAGAUCCGCGAAAGAGUUCUUAACACGUUUCGCUAGAAACGUGGCUCUUUUAAGCAUUAAUAUUUGUUUCAACAGGGUAAGACUGUAAGGAGCUAUCAAUGAUCCGCGUGACUUUUGUUCGCAGCGAGAGUCUGUCGCUGAACAGCUAAAUGUAUACGUAGAAGGCAGAAAGAAAUUGAAAAAAGCAUCGCGCAAGUCUCACAGUACGUGUACGUUGCCAAGCGACUACGCGUUUAAAGCUCGGUUUUCCAGCCUGUGAGUCAUGAAUCCGACGGGGGUUGCAAAGUUUCCUGGAGAAUCGCCAUCGCGAGUUUGGUUGAACAUCUUUGGCGCUUAUUUAUUUCAAUAUGACUGAAUUGUCGCGUUAUACUAGAACUAUUUUUUUCCUUAGAUGAAGAGUCUUUCAAGUCUUUCGCCUACCAACUAUCAAAUUGGUAGAGUCCUAGAAACCGAUAAAGGCGCCCUGGGCUUCGAUCGACAGACUCGAUCGUUGAGUCACAGAGGUUGCGAAUUAUUCGACUGCUUCAAAAGGGGUUGCGAUUCAAACAGAAUCGAGAAACGCGACGAGUAUUAAAAUUCGUCGAACCAUCAAAUUCCUGCGAUCUAAAAGAAAGAGCCGGGUUGCAGAUCGUUCAACUAGUCCGAAAGGGGGCGAGAGGUUGCGACUCAAAGACGAUCGAGACACGUGACUUUUGAGUAUUAAGACUCUUGGAACGAUCGAAUCGCUGGAAUCGAAACGGACAAAAGGGCCGCGUAGCUUCGAUCGACGUCGUUGAAUGAUACUUUUACUCGCUUUCGCAGAGUGGCUGCGCGGCGACCCUGGGUUGUCGAGGCAUGAAUCGGCGCCGCGGCUACUCGAUGCUUCGGUUUACGUUCUCCAGCGAGUGGCACGCGAUCGUUGAAAAGUUUGGUGCGCUCGAUCGGUGGAAAGGUGCUGGAGUCUGAUUCAUUUUGAGAAAAAGGACAAGAACGAAGAGGAAGAGAGAAACUUUAACUUUGUCCGUGUCGUGAGAAACACGACGACGUCCAUUAAUGGCGGUAUUAUAAACCGCUUCUCGCGUGCAUCGGUAAAGAGGUUGAGAGCCAAGGAGGGGAACACGACACCACAAGAGAGGGGAGGCGGGUGCCCGAUCAGCGGAGAUGCAUGCGAAAAAAGGUGAAAUUACGUAAACAUCUUGCAAACGACGAUUACCACACGCCGGGACUAGCUCGGUGUUCACCUCUGUUCGAAGCGCCUGAAAGAAACCGCUACAGCCUUAGCUGCAUGUGUAUACGUCUGGUCAUUCCAUCAGGAACAUCGGAAUUUUUCAUAUUUUUCACAAUUUACUCGUAGUAGAAUUUUAAUCGUAAGAUCGAGAGACGCGAGCGCAUUCUAAUAGCAAAGGUUAUUUCAAUUAUCCGACGAUAAGACGAAGAGACAAGAAAGUUCGGAAGAUGAACAGUAGAAAAAGCAGGACAAUUUUAGAAAAAAAAGUUAUAAUCGACGAGGAGAAAAAGAAUCAUGAAUUAAUAUAGCUAAUAUAUGCCUAUGUAUGGUAUAAUAUACCUACUAAUU